GGUAGCGUGGCCGAGCGGUCUUUAAGGCGCUGGUUUAACACUCCGGAGGCGGGGUCUGAAUCCCACGCUGCCG
Non-coding RNA from Trichonephila inaurata madagascariensis, 73 nucleotides. NCBI's taxonomy places the organism in Eukaryota, Metazoa, Arthropoda, Arachnida, Araneae, Nephilidae. The record is from the annotation of a GenBank genome assembly.